Molecule: ribosomal RNA, 468 nt
Filed under: uncultured bacterium
Lineage: Bacteria
Description: partial 16S ribosomal RNA
Rfam family: Bacterial small subunit ribosomal RNA
Source: RNAcentral
GACGAACGCUGGCGGCGUGCUUAACACAUGCAAGUCGAACGGAAAGGCCCUGCUUUUGUGGGGUGCUCGAGUGGCGAACGGGUGAGUAACACGUGAGUAACCUGCCCUUGACUUUGGGAUAACUUCAGGAAACUGGGGCUAAUACCGGAUAGGAGCUCCUGCUGCAUGGUGGUGGUUGGAAAGUUUCGGCGGUUGGGGAUGGACUCGCGGCUUAUCAGCUUGUUGGUGGGGUAGUGGCUUACCAAGGCUUUGACGGGUAGCCGGCCUGAGAGGGUGAACGGCCACAUUGGGACUGAGAUACGGCCCAGACUCCUACGGGAGGCAGCAGUGGAGAAUAUUGCACAGUGGGCGGGAGCCUGAUGCAGCAACGCCGCGUGCGGGAUGACGGCCUUCGGGUUGUAAACCGCUUUCGCCUGUGACGAAGAGUGAGUGACGGUAAUGAGUAAAGAAGCACCGGCUAACUACGUG